This 499-nucleotide ribosomal RNA is filed under the name Dialister invisus. RNAcentral's name for it is "bacterial SSU rRNA". It matches the Rfam family "Bacterial small subunit ribosomal RNA", at positions 28 to 496 of the family's 1533-position model. The record is from RNAcentral. Lineage: Bacteria; Bacillati; Bacillota; Negativicutes; Veillonellales; Veillonellaceae.
GACGAACCUUGGCGGCGUGCGUAACACAUGCAAGUCGAACGAAAGACGGAAGAGCUUGCUCUUUUCAGAAUUGGUGGCAAACGGGUGAGUAACACGUAAACAACCUGCCUUCAGGAUGGGGACAACAGACGGAAACGACUGCUAAUACCGAAUAAGUUCCAAGGGCCGCAUGGCCCAUGGAAGAAAAGGUGGCCUCUACCUGUAAGCUAUCGCCUGAAGAGGGGUUUGCGUCUGAUUAGCUGGUUGGAGGGGUAACGGCCCACCAAGGCGACGAUCAGUAGCCGGUCUGAGAGGAUGAACGGCCACACUGGAACUGAGACACGGUCCAGACUCCUACGGGAGGCAGCAGUGGGGAAUCUUCCGCAAUGGGCGAAAGCCUGACGGAGCAACGCCGCGUGAGUGAUGACGGCCUUCGGGUUGUAAAACUCUGUGAUCCGGGACGAAAAGGCAGAGUGCGAAGAACAAACUGCAUUGACGGUACCGGAAAAGCAAGCCACGC